CCUACGGGAGGCAGCAGUAAGGAAUAUUGGUCAAUGGAGGCAACUCUGAACCAGCCAUGCCGCGUGCAGGAUGACGGCCCUAUGGGUUGUAAACUGCUUUUAUACAAGAGAAAACCCUGGUACGUGUACCAGGUUGAUAGUAUUGUAAGAAUAAGCAUCGGCUAACUUCGUGCCAGCAGCCGCGGUAAGACGAAGGAUGCAAGCGUUAUCCGGAUUCAUUGGGUUUAAAGGGUGCGUAGGCGGACUGAUAAGUCAGUGGUGAAAUCUCUUUGCUUAACAAAGAAACUGCCAUUGAUACUGUCGGUCUAGAGUAUAGAUGACGUUGGCGGAAUAUGACAUGUAGUGGUGAAAUACUUAGAUAUGUCAUAGAACACCGAUUGCGAAGGCAGCUAACGAAACUAUAACUGACGCUGAGGCACGAAAGUGCGGGGAUCAAACAGGAUUAGAUACCCUGGUAGUCCGCACCGUAAACGAUGAUUACUCGUUGUUGGCGAUAUGACAGUCAGCGACCAAGCGAAAGCGAUAAGUAAUCCACCUGGGGAGUACGCCGGCAACGGUGAAACGUCAGGAAUUGAGGCUUGAGAGNGCGAGGACGACGACGAGGGAGGAGG
Molecule: ribosomal RNA, 611 nt
Filed under: uncultured bacterium
Lineage: Bacteria
Description: bacterial SSU rRNA
Rfam family: Bacterial small subunit ribosomal RNA
Source: RNAcentral